RNAcentral lists this ribosomal RNA (492 nucleotides) under uncultured bacterium. RNAcentral describes it as "partial 16S ribosomal RNA". It matches the Rfam family "Bacterial small subunit ribosomal RNA", at positions 29 to 507 of the family's 1533-position model. The record is from RNAcentral.
AGUGAACGCUGGCGGUAGGCCUAACACAUGCAAGUCGAGCGGCAGCACAGUAAGAGCUUGCUCUUACGGGUGGCGAGUGGCGGACGGGUGAGGAAUACAUCGGAAUCUACUUUUUCGUGGGGGAUAACGUAGGGAAACUUACGCUAAUACCGCAUACGACCUACGGGUGAAAGCAGGGGAUCUUCGGACCUUGCGCGAUUGAAUGAGCCGAUGUCGGAUUAGCUAGUUGGCGGGGUAAAGGCCCACCAAGGCGACGAUCCGUAGCUGGUCUGAGAGGAUGAUCAGCCACACUGGAACUGAGACACGGUCCAGACUCCUACGGGAGGCAGCAGUGGGGAAUAUUGGACAAAGGGCGCAAGCCUGAUCCAGCCAUACCGCGUGGGUGAAGAAGGCCUUCGGGUUGUAAAGCCCUUUUGUUGGGAAAGAAAAGCAGCAGGUUAAUACCCCGCUGUUCUGACGGUUCCCAAAGAAUAAGCACCGGCUAACUUCGUG